This 485-nucleotide ribosomal RNA is filed under the name uncultured bacterium. RNAcentral describes it as "bacterial SSU rRNA". It matches the Rfam family "Bacterial small subunit ribosomal RNA", at positions 51 to 504 of the family's 1533-position model. The record is from RNAcentral.
ACACAUGCCAAGUCGAGCGUAAACAGUCCAUUCCGGGGGCGAGUAAAGCGGCAGACGUGAGUAAUACAUAGGUCAUCUACUUCGAGCUUGGGAUAACCCGUGCGCAACUGGGCUAAUACAGGAUAGCGCACCACGGAGUAGUCGCGUGGUAAAAGGUGGCUUAUUUUUUAAAUGAGCUAUCACUUGAGGAUGAGCCUUGGCGUAUCAGCUUGUUGGUGAGGUAAGAGCUUCAAGGUAUGAGGGUAGACUGGUUUGAGAGGACGACCAGCCACACUGGGACUGAGACACGGCCCAGACUCCUAGCGGGAGGCACAGUGGGGAAUACUUGGGCAUAUGGGCUGCAUACGCUCUGAUCGCCAGGCGACCCGACGUGGGUGAUGAAGGCUUGUCGGAUUGUAAAGCCCUGUCAUGUGGAAAGAACAGUCCCGUGGUGAAUAUCCAGCGGGAUUUGACGGUACCAUCAGGAGAAGCACCCAGCUAGGUCC